ACGUUCGGAUUGCAGCCUGCAACUCGGCUGCAUGAAGCCGGAAUCGCUAGUAAUCGCGGAUCAGAAUGCCGCGGUGAAUACGUUCCCGGGUCUUGUACACACCGCCCGUCACACCAUGGGAGCCGGGAAUGCCCGAAGUCAGUGGCCUAACCGCAAGGGGGGAGCUGCCGAAGGCAGGCCCGGUGACUGGGGUGAAGUCGUAACAAGGUACC
This 212-nucleotide ribosomal RNA is filed under the name uncultured bacterium. RNAcentral describes it as "partial 16S ribosomal RNA". It matches the Rfam family "Bacterial small subunit ribosomal RNA", at positions 1288 to 1500 of the family's 1533-position model. The record is from RNAcentral.